GAUGAACGCUGGCGGCGUGCCUAAUACAUGCAAGUCGAGCGAACAGACGAGGAGCUUGCUCCUCUGACGUUAGCGGCGGACGGGUGAGUAACACGUGGAUAACCUACCUAUAAGACUGGGAUAACUUCGGGAAACCGGAGCUAAUACCGGAUAAUAUAUUGAACCGCAUGGUUCAAUAGUGAAAGACGGUUUUGCUGUCACUUAUAGAUGGAUCCGCGCCGCAUUAGCUAGUUGGUAAGGUAACGGCUUACCAAGGCGACGAUGCGUAGCCGACCUGAGAGGGUGAUCGGCCACACUGGAACGGAGACACGGUCCAGACUCCUACGGGAGGCAGCAGUAGGGAAUCUUCCGCAAUGGGCGGAAGCCUGACGGAGCAACGCCGCGUGAGUGAUGAAGGUCUUCGGAUCGUAAAACUCUGUUAUUAGGGAAGAACAAAUGUGUAAGUAACUAUGCACGUCUUGACGGUACCUAAUCAGAAAGCCACGGCUAACUACGUG
This 497-nucleotide ribosomal RNA is filed under the name uncultured bacterium. RNAcentral describes it as "partial 16S ribosomal RNA". It matches the Rfam family "Bacterial small subunit ribosomal RNA", at positions 28 to 507 of the family's 1533-position model. The record is from RNAcentral.